UACGGAAGGCAGCAGUGGGGAAUAUUGCACAAUGGGCGAAAGCCUGAUGCAGCUAUGCCGCGUGUAUGAAGAAGGCCUUAGGGUUGUAAAGUACUUUCAUCGGGGAGGAAAAAACAAAACUAAUAAUUUUAUUUCUUGACGUUACCCGAAAAAGAAGCACCGGCUAACUCCGUGCCAGCAGCCGCGGUAAUACGGAGGGUGCUAGCGUUAAUCAGAAUUACUGGGCGUAAAGAGCACGUAGGUGGUUUUUUUAAGUCAGAUGUGAAAUCCCUGGGCUUAACCUAGGAACUGCAUUUGAAACUGAAAUACUAGAGUAUCGUAGAGGGAGGUAGAAUUCUAGGUGUAGCGGUGAAAUGCGUAGAUAUCUGGAGGAAUACCUGUGGCGAAAGCGGCCUCCUAAACGAAUACUGACACUGAGGGUGCGAAAGCGUGGGGAGCAAAACAGGGAUUAGAUACC
Molecule: ribosomal RNA, 457 nt
Filed under: uncultured bacterium
Lineage: Bacteria
Description: bacterial SSU rRNA
Rfam family: Bacterial small subunit ribosomal RNA
Source: RNAcentral